GAUGAACGCUGGCGGCGUGCCUAAUACAUGCAAGUCGAGCGAACAGACGAAGAACUUGCUCCUCUUACGUUAGCGGCGGACGGGUGAGUAACACGUGGAUAACCUACCUAUAAGACUGGGAUAACUUCGUGAAACCGGAGCCAAUACCGGCUAAUAUAUUGAACCGCAUGGUUCAAUAGUGAAAGACGGUUUUGCUGUCACUUAUAGAUGGAUCCGCUCCGCAUUAGCUAGUUGGUAAGGUAACGGCUUACCAAGGCAACGAUGCGUAGCCGACCUGAGAGGGUGAUCGGCCACACUGGAACUGAGACACGGUCCAGACUCCUACGGGAGGCAGCAGUAGGGAAUCUUCCGCAAUGGGCGAAAGCCUGACGGAGCAACGCCGCGUGAGUGAAGAAGGUCCUCGGAUUGUAAAGCUCUGUUAGUAGGGAAGAACAAAUGUGUAAGUAACUAUGCACGUAUUGACGGUACCUGAAGAGAAAGCCACGGCUAACUACGUG
RNAcentral lists this ribosomal RNA (497 nucleotides) under uncultured bacterium. RNAcentral describes it as "partial 16S ribosomal RNA". It matches the Rfam family "Bacterial small subunit ribosomal RNA", at positions 28 to 507 of the family's 1533-position model. The record is from RNAcentral.